Molecule: small RNA, 480 nt
Filed under: Malus domestica (apple)
Lineage: Eukaryota; Viridiplantae; Streptophyta; Magnoliopsida; Rosales; Rosaceae
Source: RNAcentral
GGCCUUUUGGGAGCUCACUGGCUUUGGGUUCCAUCGGAACUCCGAAGUUAAGCGAGUUUGGGCGAGAACAAUCCCAGGAUGGGUGACCCACUGGGAAGUUCUCGUGUGAAUUCCCAGAGACAAAACCGCGAAGGUGUGGUCGGGGCUUACAACGGACAAUAUCGUGCUAUGGCGAAGUCAAGCCCAGGAUGUGGUGGGGGCCCGGGCCGGGAUGUGACAAUUUGGUAUCAGAGCCAAUCUCUGACUGGAUGUGUGCUAGCAAGGACGUCGGGCCUCUAAGGAGGGUGGAUUGUAACAUCCCACAUCGUCCAGGGGAGUGGAUCCUGUAAGCCUUAUAUGUAUAUUCCCAUCUCUACCUAGCACGAGGUCUUUUGGGAGUUCACUGGCUUUGGGUUCCAUCGGAACUCUGAAGUUAAGCGAGUUUAGGCGAGAGCAAUCCCAUGAUGGGUAACCUAUUGGGAAGUUCUCGUGUGGAUUCCC